This 424-nucleotide ribosomal RNA is filed under the name uncultured cyanobacterium. Its description in RNAcentral is "bacterial SSU rRNA". It matches the Rfam family "Bacterial small subunit ribosomal RNA", at positions 356 to 795 of the family's 1533-position model. The record is from RNAcentral. Lineage: Bacteria; Bacillati; Cyanobacteriota.
GGGGAAUUUUCCGCAAUGGGCGAAAGCCUGACGGAGCAAUACCGCGUGAGGGAUGACGGCCUGUGGGUUGUAAACCUCUUUUCUCAAGGAAGAAGUUCUGACGGUACUUGAGGAAUAAGCAUCGGCUAACUCUGUGCCAGCAGCCGCGGUAAUACAGAGGAUGCAAGCGUUAUCCGGAAUCACUGGGCAUAAAGCGUCUGUAGGUGGUUUGGUAAGUCUGCUGUUAAAGACUGGGGCUCAACCCCAGAAAAGCAGUGGAAACUGCCAGACUUGAGUGUGGUAGAGGUAGAGGGAAUUCCUAGUGUAGCGGUGAAAUGCGUAGAUAUUAGGAAGAACACCAAUGGCGAAGGCACUCUGCUGGACCAUAACUGACACUGAGAGACGACAGCUAGGGGAGCAAAUGGGAUUAGAUACCCCUGUAGUC